AAAAAGAUAAGCUAAAUUAAGCUAUUAGGUUCAUACCCUAAGUAUAGAAUAUAAAUUCUUCUUUUUA
This 67-nucleotide transfer RNA is filed under the name Trigonotylus caelestialium. RNAcentral's name for it is "tRNA-Met". The record is from RNAcentral. Lineage: Eukaryota; Metazoa; Arthropoda; Insecta; Hemiptera; Miridae.